GACGAACGCUGGCGGCGUGCUUAACACAUGCAAGUCGAACGGUAAGGCCCUUCGGGGUACACGAGUGGCGAGCGGGUGAGUAACACGUGGGUGAUCUGCCCUGCAUUUUGGGAUAAGCCUGGGAAACUGGGUCUAAUAUCGGAUAGGACCACGCGUUUCACGGUGUGUGGUGGAAAGCUUUUUCGGUGUGGGAUGGGCCCGCGGCCUAUCAGCUUGUUGGUGGGGUAAUGGCCUACCAAGGCGAGGACGGGUAGCCGGCCUGGGAGGGUGACCGGCCACACUGGGACUGAGAUACGGCCCAGACUCCUACGGGAGGCAGCAGUGGGGAAUAUUGCACAAUGGGCGCAAGCCUGAUGCAGCGACGCCGCGUGAGGGAUGACGGCCUUCGGGUUGUAAACCUCUUUCAGUAGGGACGAAGCGCAAGUGACGGUACCUACAGAAGAAGGACCGGCCAACUACGUGCCAGCAGCCGCCGUAA
RNAcentral lists this ribosomal RNA (478 nucleotides) under uncultured bacterium. RNAcentral describes it as "partial 16S ribosomal RNA". It matches the Rfam family "Bacterial small subunit ribosomal RNA", at positions 28 to 523 of the family's 1533-position model. The record is from RNAcentral.